This 253-nucleotide ribosomal RNA is filed under the name uncultured bacterium. RNAcentral's name for it is "partial 16S ribosomal RNA". It matches the Rfam family "Bacterial small subunit ribosomal RNA", at positions 524 to 776 of the family's 1533-position model. The record is from RNAcentral.
UACAGAGGGUGCGAGCGUUGUCCGGAAUCACUGGGCGUAAAGGGCUCGUAGGCGGUCUGUUGCGUCGGGAGUGAAAACUUACAGCUUAACUGUGAGCGUGCUUUCGAUACGGGCAGACUUGAGGCAUUCAGGGGAGAACGGAAUUCCUGGUGUAGCGGUGAAAUGCGCAGAUAUCAGGAGGAACACCGGUGGCGAAGGCGGUUCUCUGGGAAUGUCCUGACGCUGAGGAGCGAAAGUGUGGGGAGCGAACAGG